UGCAGCCCAGUAUGGUCAUUAUUCC
Molecule: non-coding RNA, 25 nt
Filed under: Mus musculus (house mouse)
Lineage: Eukaryota; Metazoa; Chordata; Mammalia; Rodentia; Muridae
Source: RNAcentral